Aedes albopictus (Asian tiger mosquito) is the source of this 5797-nucleotide long non-coding RNA. RefSeq lists it as uncharacterized. The record is from RefSeq and is a predicted model, not a curated record. The transcript has 2 exons. NCBI's taxonomy places the organism in Eukaryota, Metazoa, Arthropoda, Insecta, Diptera, Culicidae.
GGUAAAUUUUGCCCUACUCAUAGAUCCGACCGUGUACUCUUCAAUGGGUGAAAAAUGUAUUGAACAGUUUCAUGGCGCAUCCAGUCGCACAAGACUGAUGUUUGUGAUUCUGCUAAGUUUGACGAUUUUUUCGGGAUUUUCGUGGUUCUGGACCGGCUCAGCCUUGGGCUCAGCGAUCAAAUUUGGAGCCAACAUUUUAUCGACUGAAGACCAGAUGCCGAAUGUAUGACCAUAGUCAUUAAGAAUUAAAGAUUAAUUUAUUAAUGAAUAAAUAUUGCACAUUUACAAAAUAUAAUUAGUGUUGUUUUUUAUUUCUGGAGCUCGAUUUGAAUAGGUCGUAUGUGAUUUCGUCGAUAUAAAAUUCGAUCAGUUGGAUUCGCUUCUUAUGGCGGAAACUGUUAAAAUUUAACAAAAUUAAUACAUACAAGCGAUUCCUUACAAAACAGGCUUUCGGUUUUAUCAUUAAAAGCCACUGAAAUAUCAUCCAUAUUUCUACUAUUACUAAAAUAAACUGAUCGAAUUUUAUAUCUACGAAAGCACAUACGACCUAUUCAAAUCGAGCUCCAGAUUUGAUUGAUAAUUUUAAAAUUCAAAAAUUUCUAAGUCCGCAUAAAAUGAUAAAAAAGGGUAAAUUCUGGAGCUCGAUUUGAAUAGGUCGUAUGUGAUUUCGUCGAUAUAAAAUUCGAUCAGUUGGAUUCGCUUCUUAUGGCGAAAACUGUUAAAAUUUAACAAAAUUAAUACAUACAAGCGAUUCCUUACACAACAGGCUUUCGGUUUUAUCAUUAAAAGCCACUGAAAUAUCAUCCAUAUUUCUUACUACAAUAAACUGAUCGAAUUUUAUAUCGACGAAAGCACAUACGACCUAUUCAAAUCGAGCUCCAGAAAUGUACUCUUUUCAAAUUUCAAAUCGUUCUAGAAAAAGGGUAAAAUUCACUCGUUGAUUUGACGUACAAGCGGUUUACCCUUUUAAGAGUAAAUGCCGUUUACUCUUUUUAUGAGUUCACCUAGUUACUCUCGAAAUGGGUGAAAAAGUACUCUUUAAAGAGUACUUCAGAGUACUUCAGAGUACUUUUAUGCCGGGAUCAAACGGAAACUACCCACUCAGAGCUUUGACGCGAUGUAGCCAAAUUUGGGUUCUCGCACGCAAGAGCCGGUAUGAGUGAAAAGAACUUAUAAUUGGGUUGAUUUAUGGUUCCGUGUGCACGAACAAUACACUCUAAAAAAUUUACACGUCGGAGUGAUGUGUUUUACACAUAGAUUUGCGCAAAUUGUAUUGUCGGGCCGCCACCAAACCGGACUUCGCACAAUCAAGUCGCGACGCGACCCAACUCGCGACGUUUUUUAGUCCUGUCAAAAGUAGUGCGCAUCCUUCCCGUUAUUGUCAGCAACACAGCGCACUAGAUGCGAAACAGUUGCGACACUUCUGUGGGCCAAGAAAUUGGCAAUUUUUGAUUGAAUGUCGGUCUUGAUUCCAACCGGAUAGAUAAUAAAACCAGUGAAUGUCACGUGUGAAUCAUACACGCAGAAAAAUGGCGCUUGUUUAAAACAAUAAAACGCAUGGUUGAUUUUCAAACACGCAGAAAAAUAAAUUGUAAACAUAAUUAAAUUCUAGUUCAAAUCAACCGACUUUUCAGUUUACUAUUUAUAGCGACAAACUGAUUUCUAGUUUAAACUGAACUGUUGCAACUGUUUGAUAAUACAAAUGUUUUAAUUUGACGAAAUUUUUGACAGUUUGUCAGAACAAACAGAGAUUUGGUAGUUUCAACAUAAAAUAACAUAUUGUUUUAAACGACUGCACUUUUGUGACUAACAAAGCCGGAAUGUGAUUGUGUUGGUGACGGCAGCUCCUGCGGCAGCUCGGAAAUCAAUUUUUAGACCGUCGGUGAGCGGAUUGGGAGGAGAACGACUAAAAAAAGACAAAAAAGGCGAAGCCGAUCAACUUUUUGUGGAUGCUGUCGAGAGUACCUGCGCGUUAUCCAUCACGACCAAAGCUGCACUUGGAAGUUGGCGUGAUGGAUUUGCUGCACCUUCUUCGUUGUGGCGAUGUUGGGGUAAGCAUUUUAUAGGUGUGUGAGUGCUUUCGGACCAAGUUUCGGACCAUGUUUAUGGUUUUUAUUUUGUUGAAACAAAUGAAAUUUUUGACAUUAUAUGAAAUGAUGGUAAUCGGUUGUUUUUAUCGAUAAACCCUAAAUGAAAACAAUUAAAUAUAACUUUGGAAUAAGUAAAUUCUCAGUUUGAAAAUCAACCAUGCGUUUUAUUGUUUUAAACAAGCGCCAUUUUUCUGCGUGAACUGAGAAUUUACUUAUUCCAAAGUUAUAUUUAAUUGUUUUCAUUUAGGGUUUAUCGAUAAAAACAACCGAUUACCAUCAUUUCAUAUAAUGUCAAAAAUUUCAUUUGUUUCAACAAAAUAAAAACCAUAAACAUGGUCCGAAACUUGGUCCGAAAGCACUCACACACCUAUAAAAUGCUUACCCCAACAUCGCCACAACGAAGAAGGUGCAGCAAAUCCAUCACGCCAACUUCCAAGUGCAGCUUUGGUCGUGAUGGAUAACGCGCAGGUACUCUCGACAGCAUCCACAAAAAGUUGAUCGGCUUCGCCUUUUUUGUCUUUUUUAGUCGUUCUCCUCCCCAUCCGCUCACCGACGGUCUAAAAAUUGAUUUCCGAGCUGCCGCAGGAGCUGCCGUCACCAACACAAUCACAUUCCGGCUUUGUUAGUCACAAAAGUGCAGUCGUUUAAAACAAUAUGUUAUUUUAUGUUGAAACUACCAAAUCUCUGUUUGUUCUGACAAACUGUCAAAAAUUUCGUCAAAUGAAAACAUUUGUAUUAUCAAACAGUUGCAACAGUUCAGUUUAAACUAGAAAUCAGUUUGUCGCUAUAGUAAACUGAAAAAUCGGUUGAUUUGAACUAGAAUUUAAUUAUGUUUACAAUUUAUUUUUCUGCGUGUAUGGAAUCACUAACAUUAUUUUUUCUCCAAUCUUCAAACAAUCCACACGACUCUUAUGUGUACCUCACAUGGAAUUCAAAUUGAAUACAUUUGGAUUCUGAUGGACUUGCCAAUGAAUGUAUAUUUUCAAUGUAGUUGAAUUUGACUUGUAAAUACAUGCAAUCUUAUUGGGCGGUUCAUACAUUGGGCGGUUCAUGAAUUUCAUGUUAUGAUGCCGUGCCGAUGUAGUUCUCCAGGCAAAAUGCAAUGAGAAAGCUCUUAUUUCACACGAGCUCAUAGUUUUACAAUUACGAUUUUAAUUUUGAAUUUCGAAUGUGUUCAAAAAAAAUAAUAAUUUCAGUACACACCUUCUGCUUUUCAAAUUAAAAUCGUAAAUGAAAAACCAAGAGCUCGCAUGAAAUAUGAACACUUUACUUUAAAGACGACUUUGAUGCUCUGUAUUAUUUAAAACUCCAAGUUUGAAAUUUUAUAAUCAUUUUAUUUAGGUACAAUAGUUUAGAAACAUUUACAAAGAUUUGCCUAAGAUAUAAAAAACUACAUACUUAUUCAUUUAUUUGAUCAAUAAAACUCACCGUCGAUAUCCCAAGUAACAACAAGCAUUAUAUCAUAACAUUAAUUCCAUCGUAUUAUAAUUUAGCUAAUGCAACAUAACUUUUAUUUUACAUCUGUCAAGUAAUGAAGCGUUUAAUCUACAUUAUGAAAGCAUUGAAGCAUUACGAGAUUUUGACGGUUCUGUAUAGUUCUAUAGAGCCGUUGUUAAAUGCUUCAUUGCAUUACCAUGUUAAAAGCUUUAUAGCAAUCAAUAAUGCAAGCAUUUAUUACUUUAUAUGUGCCUUUACUAAAGCUUCCAUCGUUGUAAACAGAAAAAUAUCGCUCAGUUCGAAAAAAAAACUGUGAAACACUUUUAGAAACAGAACCAUUUAAAACAAACCAAAAUUUUCAUGGAUUGCUGCGGAGCACUUAGAUUAUCACGCUCUGAUGUGGUCGGCGUUCAGUCAGAGUGGACUACGCGAUUUUUCUGGCAGUUAAAGAUAAGCUGAGGAAUUCGUUAAACCUGUACUUUUCGACGUUAUUUUGAUGCAGAUGUGUCAUUACAUACAAGAAUAAUAGUAUUUCUAAAAAUAAUGCCAGAGGUUUGAAAUUUCAAGUGCUUGCAGGACAUUUUCUCGAAAUUAUUGAAAAACAGAUGGUUAAGUCAGACCUAACGCCGACCAUGUUGCUGUGUGAAAAUUUAUAUUAUGUAUGUUUUUUUGGGUUUCUGGUUGGGACAUGAAAAUAAUCAGAUGCUGAGGGAACAAAAAUUAUGUGGGGUAUCGGUUUCCUUGUUUAACCGGAUUUCAUAAAAGGAAGAAUUGAAGCGCUGUUUGUAUUGUUUCUUAUUUAUUGUAUUUUAGGUAGAAGUGAGCACAUAUGAAAACAAAAAAACAGAAUCAACACAGACGAAUUUAUAUUCGAGAGUAACAUAACUGAUGGCAUUCAGACCCCGGCACAUUUUUUAGAGUUGCUGAAAACACAACUCAAUAAGGCACUAGCUAAGUAUACUUCACUUUAUGUUGCACAUUUUUCCAGGUGCAAAAUACAUGGUCGUAGCACACAGCAUUAGCGCGUCCGAGUUUCAUCGUGGUCAGUUUCAGCAGUCUAGGUUCAAUUCCCGAAAUACAAUAAAAAACAUCAAAGUGAGAGUAUCGGAAGAUAAAAAUAGAUAGAAAAAUGAUAAACAUACUUUUUUUCAUUUUUGACAUGAUGCAUUAAGUGUGCAUUCCAUGCGAUUUGAUUGCAUUAGCUAUUGUCGGGCCGCCACCAAACCGGACUUCGCACAAUCAAGUCGCGACGCGACCCAACUCGCGACGUUUUUUAAUCAUGUCAAAUGUAGUGCGCAUCCUUCCCGUUGUUGUCAGCAACACAGCGCACUAGAUGCGAAACAGUUGCGACGCUUGUGGACCAAGAAAAUGGCAAUUUUUGAUUGAAUGUCGGUCUUGAUUCCAACCGGAUAGACAAUAUAAGGUACAAGCAUUUUAUAUGCUUUAGCAAUCACCACAGUAAAGCUUGCUGUAAAUCAACAAUAGUAGCGCCACACACUUAGAAAAUAGAACCGAACUCGGUUCAAUUUCAACCGAGUUUUUAUCUGCUGAACGCUCGGUUCCUCGCUCGGUUCAAAACUUUACAACCGAGUUUUCGGUAGACGUUCUUUGUCAUAGAAACGUCAAACUUACCGAAAAAACUCGGUCGAAAAGUCUGAUUCAACCGAACAUUCAGUACAAUUUAUUAUUACCGAGAGCUGUCAAACCAAACGAAUUUCGGUUCUUUUUAUUAGUCCUGCAUUUCAUUCAUAGUAAUUUCCAAGGUAAUUUCAGCAUAAAGAAUAAAAACAAAUUCAUAAUUGGAGAAAACAAUGAUUUAUUACUUGCUCCCAAUGUUUAAAACACACCUAUUUUUAAAUACAAUUUUGCACAUAUUUUGUUUGUUCGUACAUGCCGCAGAUUGGAUGAGCAACCAACGGGUAAAGCUUCAUCUGGUGAAAAAACUUACAUGCCAUUUCCUAUGCGGUUUCUAAAAAAGCUUGGGAAUUACGUUGUUGCUGGUUCGUCUGUGGCCUUUUUCUGGAGAUUGUUCGUGAGCUGAAAACACACGUCUUCAAUCAAUAUAGAUGUUAUAAAAAUAUAAUAAAAACAAAUUUUCUCACCUAUUUCCUCUGCGAUUGUAAUUUACGAUCCGAAUGCAAGGACCUUCACUUCAGAAACAAACAUGGCCGAUUGGUUUGCGUAGUCAAACCAAGUGCGCAACCGACUUUUCGGUUGAAGUAUCCGACGUGAAGUUCACCGCAUUUGACGUUUGAACAAUGCUUGGUGUU